UUGUGUGAUCCCGCCGCGUUCUCACACAGCUCCAGAAGGACUUCCUCCGCUCUCGCAGCAUCAGUUCUCUUCCAGCCAUCGGUUUGGUAACACUUUGUUCUUACGGCGUAUCUUCGUGUAACCGGUUGUGGAUUCCGUUUUGUGUGUACACAGUUUUUUUUAUAUCCAUUUCCCUGUUUCCUAAGGAAAGUGAGAGUUUUGGUGUGUGCUUCUUUACCGAAAACGACAGCAGUGGGGGACCUCCCGGUGCGUGCGUGAUUGCUUUUCUUCAGCGUUUGGUUCUCAACGCGAGGCUCAGUCAGAAUUAUUAAGUGUGUUGCGGGUGGAUAGACGUCUAGUAUUCCUGCUACUAGGUUUAACAAUUAUGGGGCUUUUACGGCUGAACCCGCUUGCGAUUUGUCUGAUCUUGGUGGCUGCUAAUCUGUGUGCAGCUCAGCAGCAGGCCCCUCCAACAAUUACAUCAAUCAGUCCGGAACAGAUUAAGGAUAUUGGAGAAAGCGUGACAUUCGAGUGCGAUAUCGACAACGUAGGCAAAUUUACGGUUGGGUGGCAAAAGACCAAUCGCGAACGGUCACAAAAUGUGAACUCCAUCUCCCUUGGCCCAACUUUAGCGGUGGCUGAGGAUCGUUUCAAAGUCAGCGUCGAAAAAGAGAACAAUACCAUGAACUACACACUUACGAUCAGCGACAUCGUCAAUACGGACGCUGGACUGUACGAAUGCCAGAUUCAGGUGAACAGUACUAAUAAAGUAACCGCUACGGUUGAGCUCCAGGUUCGUCAUCCACCGCUGCUGCAGGACAACUUGAUGGCAACAACUGUUACAAAAGCUGAAGGGGAAAACGUUAAGCUGACUUGCUCAGCAGAGGGAUACCCACGUCCAACGAUCUCCUGGAAGCGAGAGUACGGUGCUAUCCUUCCAAUCGGUGGACAAAGCUAUACUGGUAACGAGCUAUCAUUGUCGUCGUUGGUCAGGGAAGAUCGUGGCACGUACUUCUGCAUUGCGGAUAAUGGAGUUGGUAAACCAGAUUCACGGACAAUCAACCUUGAGGUAGAGUUUGCCCCUGUCAUUUCUGUACCACGACCGAAGGUAGCACAAGCUACUGAAUACGACAUCGAACUGGAGUGUGUCGUACAAGCAUUUCCAUCACCAGCAGUUUCCUGGUUCAAGAAUGGACAACAAAUCCACAAUGGUGGUUCUUAUGGAAUUACUCAAACUGGCCAACCGGAUGAUGUCACGACAUCGACAGUAAAAAUUUUCUCAGUAGAAAGCUCCCAUUACGGAGACUACAACUGCAAAGCCUCGAAUAAAGUUGGACAUGCUGAAGCAAGACUGAACCUCUACGAAUCGGUUAUCCCAGUUCCCUAUUGAUGUUGUAGUUGAAUUUGAUCAUCCUUAGUUUAGUCAAUCUUUGGUUAAAUUUUGUUUUCUUGAUGAUUCAUUGAGAGCAACGCAUUCCUAAUAUCAAUUUCUCAGGCUUGAAAUGGUCAAGCUCGGGCCGUGUUCUAGCAAGUCAUUUAGGCAUCCUUACGGUAACAGUGCUACUGGCAACGCUGUUGUGAAUGAGAAAAAGAAACUAAAUGCUGCAGCUAAAUUCAAAAUCACCUGAAAGAAAUCUAAGUUAAUAAUAUAACCAAAUACGACAACAAGAAUGUUCAAAUUCAAACCGAUUUGGAGACCCUUGCCUGAAACUCGAGUGCCCGUCAGAAGUGGAUCAAAAUGCUCACAUGUACACAAGAAACAUAUCCAUAUAAGAGAGCGCGUUUACUUAUCCCUAGAAGUGAUCAACCCAUUUCAAUAUUUGCGUAGAGUAUUCUGGAUAUACGAACGAACGGACUUAUUUGUGCGACUGGUGUUUACUGAAAUCCUGUACAAAUAGAGCCGAUCUAAAACAACGGCGAAGCUGAACGUUUAAUAAAAUUUGCUACCUGGUAAACUCGUGAAUCAUCAUACAAAGUUCGUUUUAGUGUUAGGCAUAUAAAAGAUUUUGGAAAAUGGUCUUGUGCGAAUAAAGGCGUUUAAUCGUAAA
RNA transcript from Aedes aegypti (yellow fever mosquito), 2027 nucleotides. It is a transcript of the gene named lachesin, with no coding region annotated. The transcript is spliced from 6 exons. Lineage: Eukaryota; Metazoa; Arthropoda; Insecta; Diptera; Culicidae. The record is from RefSeq and is a predicted model, not a curated record.